RNAcentral lists this ribosomal RNA (376 nucleotides) under uncultured bacterium. RNAcentral's name for it is "bacterial SSU rRNA". It matches the Rfam family "Bacterial small subunit ribosomal RNA", at positions 796 to 1165 of the family's 1533-position model. The record is from RNAcentral.
CACGCCGUAAACGAUGGGUACUAGGUGUAGGGGGUAUCGACUCCCCCUGUGCCGCCGUUAACACAAUAAGUACCCCGCCUGGGGAGUACGGUCGCAAGAUUAAAACUCAAAGGAAUUGACGGGGGCCCGCCACAAGCAGCGGAGCAUGUGGUUUAAUUCGAAGCAACGCGAAGAACCUUACCUAGACUUGACAUCUCCUGAAUUACUCUUAAUCGAGGAAGUUCUCCCUUCGGGGAGGACAGGAAGACAGGUGGUGCAUGGUUGUCGUCAGCUCGUGUCGUGAGAUGUUGGGUUAAGUCCCGCAACGAGCGCAACCCUUAUUGUUAGUUGCUACCAUUUAGUUGAGCACUCUAGCAAGACUGCCGUGGUUAACGCG